UGGGGAAUUUUGGACAAUGGGGGAAACCCUGAUCCAGCCAUCCCGCGUGUGCGAUGAAGGCCUUCGGGUUGUAAAGCACUUUUGGCAGGAAAGAAACGUCAUGGGUUAAUACCCCGUGAAACUGACGGUACCUGCAGAAUAAGCACCGGCUAACUACGUGCCAGCAGCCGCGGUAAUACGUAGGGUGCAAGCGUUAAUCGGAAUUACUGGGCGUAAAGCGUGCGCAGGCGGUUCGGAAAGAAAGAUGUGAAAUCCCAGAGCUCAACUUUGGAACUGCAUUUUUAACUACCGGGCUAGAGUGUGUCAGAGGGAGGUGGAAUUCCGCGUGUAGCAGUGAAAUGCGUAGAUAUGCGGAGGAACACCGAUGGCGAAAGCAGCCUCCUGGGAUAACACUGAAGCUCAUGCACGAAAGCGUGGGGAGCAAACAGG
Molecule: ribosomal RNA, 429 nt
Filed under: Acidobacteriota bacterium
Lineage: Bacteria; Pseudomonadati; Acidobacteriota
Description: Acidobacteria bacterium partial 16S ribosomal RNA
Rfam family: Bacterial small subunit ribosomal RNA
Source: RNAcentral